This 73-nucleotide small nucleolar RNA is filed under the name Xenopus laevis (African clawed frog). RNAcentral describes it as "Small nucleolar RNA SNORD47". It matches the Rfam family "Small nucleolar RNA SNORD47". Rfam says of the family: U47 belongs to the C/D class of snoRNA which contain the C (UGAUGA) and D (CUGA) box motifs. Most of the members of the box C/D family function in directing site-specific 2'-O-methylation of substrate RNAs. RNAcentral also lists the same sequence under 1 other name. The record is from Rfam by way of RNAcentral. Lineage: Eukaryota; Metazoa; Chordata; Amphibia; Anura; Pipidae.
AACCUGUGAUGAAGAGAUUCUGCCAAAUGAUAAGGAUGAUAUUAUCCCUAACCGUUCCAUUAUUUCUGAGGAA